GGGAAUGUAGCUCAUUGGCAUAAGCGCCUGCCUUGCAAGCAGGCAGUCCUGAGUUCAAUCCCCGGUACCG
Molecule: transfer RNA, 70 nt
Filed under: Cavia porcellus (domestic guinea pig)
Lineage: Eukaryota; Metazoa; Chordata; Mammalia; Rodentia; Caviidae
Rfam family: tRNA
About the family: Transfer RNA (tRNA) molecules are approximately 80 nucleotides in length. Their secondary structure includes four short double-helical elements and three loops (D, anti-codon, and T loops).
Source: Rfam by way of RNAcentral